Molecule: unclassified non-coding RNA, 4235 nt
Filed under: Hevea brasiliensis (rubber tree)
Lineage: Eukaryota; Viridiplantae; Streptophyta; Magnoliopsida; Malpighiales; Euphorbiaceae
Source: RNAcentral
UCCUUAAAAGAGGUGAGCUACCAGAUAAUGCUGUCCAUUUGUCCUUUUUGCUAAUUGGUAGCAUAAAUAUAGUCUACCACUGUCAUUCCAAUGUAUUAGAUUUUAGUUUGUAGUGCUAUACAAGGUUGCUUGGACAGAUAGUGCAUUGUUCCAUUUCAAGAAUGCUUAUUAUGCCUUUCCAUUUGUAGAUAUAAAAUUCAAGUUUGGUGCAAGUUCAUGAAUGAAAAGAAAUUCCCUAGUGAAUAUCACCAUCUUUUCAUUUUAUAACCAUCUGUUUAGUAAAUUUGAAGUCACAUAGCACUCUUGAACAGAAAUUCUGGGGGAGAAAUAUGAAUUAUUAAAAUUAAGAAUCAAAUACUGCUAUUUUUUUUUGUACAGAUUUUAUCAAACCUUAAUUCAACCCAAGCACACAAGGAUAGAUUAGUUCUAGCAUGUCUUGUAUCAAUGAGCACGUGCUUGCUUGUGUGUCUGUAUUUGAACCAUUUUCCUUUCUGCACUGGGGUCACAGUAAUUUUCUCCUUUUCUUCUUUAUAUUCAAUGUUAUAAAGUGUCUUCUUACCCACACAUUUUCAUGUAAUGAGGUAACUUAUCAAAAGGUUCUGUUGAUACUUGUUAUGUUUAGGAUUAUGAUGUGAGUUGCACAAGCCUGAUUGUCCACAUUCACAUUUUUAAGUUCUAGUGUUUGCUUAAGCUUUGUAUAUCUCACUUCCUCAGUUCCUCUCUUUCUUCUUCUUAUUCUUCUCCUUUUCUUUUUCAUUUUUCCCCUAAUAAAAUCUUUUUAGGCCCCAUGCUUCUUAUCUGAUUUGAUAUUUCUCACGCUCUAUCUUUUUCUUUUUCUCUCUCUCUUCUUUUAAUAUUGUCCCCUCCCCCCCUCUUCCCCCUCCAAAAACAUUCUGUUUCAAACCCUAAUUUCCCGUCCGUACGCCACUUUCCUGCUAAAUCUACCAGCGCGUCUCAUUUCGAUUAAUCACUUUUCUUUUUGAGGUUCGUCGAUCAUUCGAUCAUCGCCAUCAGAUCAAUUUUUCGGUUUAUUAAUCGUUUGUUGUGGAUUUUGAGGGGGAGAUCGGGGUUUAGGUUACGGAUUCGGAUCCGAGGGGAAAAUAUGAGUAAUCAGAAGAAGAGAAACUUUCAGAUAGAGGCGUUUAAGCACCGGGUCGUGGUGGAUCCAAAAUACGCUGAUAAGACCUGGAAGAUUCUGGAACAUGCUAUCCAUGAGAUUUACAAUCACAACGCUAGUGGCCUUAGUUUUGAAGAGCUUUAUAGGAAUGCCUAUAAUAUGGUGCUGCACAAAUUUGGUGAAAAGUUGUAUUCUGGUCUGGUUUCAACUAUGACUUCACAUCUUAAAGAAAUAUCAAAAUCUAUUGAGGCUGCUCAGGGAGAUUCAUUUUUGGAGGAGCUGAACAGGAAAUGGAAUGACCAUAACAAAGCGUUGCAAAUGAUAAGGGAUAUAUUGAUGUACAUGGAUAGAACGUAUAUUCCAAGCACUCAUAAAACUCCUGUUCAUGAGCUUGGAUUGAACUUGUGGAGGGAUAAUAUCAUACAUUCCAGCAAAAUUCAGACAAGGCUUCUAAAUACACUUCUUGAACUAGUACAUAGAGAACGGACCGGUGAAGUUAUAGACCGAGGGUUGAUGAGGAACAUAAUCAAGAUGCUUAUGGAUUUAGGUUCAUUGGUUUACCAAGAGGACUUUGAGAAGCCGUUUCUUGAGGUUUCUGCUGAGUUCUAUAAGGUUGAAUCACAGGAGUUCAUUGAAUGCUGUGACUGUGGUGAGUAUUUGAAGAAAGCUGAGAAACGUUUGAAUGAAGAGAUAGAGCGAGUGACACACUACUUGGAUGCAAAGAGUGAAGUCAAGAUAACUAACGUGGUUGAGAAGGAAAUGAUUGCUAACCACAUGUUGAGUUUAGUUCACAUGGAGAAUUCAGGCCUGGUAAAUAUGCUUCUUGAUGAUAAAUAUGAGGACUUGGGAAGAAUGUAUAACUUGUUUCGUCGGGUUCCUAAUGGUCUUCUAACAAUACGAGAAGUGAUGACUUCCCACCUAAGGGAGACUGGUAAGCAGCUAGUUACUGAUCCAGAAAGGUUGAAGGAUCCAGUGGAAUUUGUUCAGCGUUUGUUGGAUGAAAAAGAUAAAUACGAUAGCAUCAUAAGUUUGGCAUUCAGCAAUGACAAGACAUUCCAGAAUGCUUUGAAUUCCUCUUUUGAAUAUUUUAUUAAUUUGAAUGCUCGCUCUCCUGAAUUCAUUUCAUUGUUUGUGGAUGACAAGCUUAGAAAAGGUCUAAAGGGAGUUAGUGAGGAGGAUGUGGAGGUUAUUCUUGACAAGGUGAUGAUGCUGUUCCGCUACUUGCAGGAGAAGGAUGUAUUUGAGAAGUAUUAUAAACAGCAUUUGGCUAAGCGACUGUUAUCAGGAAAAACUGUCUCUGACGAUGCAGAGAGAAGUUUGAUAGUCAAACUCAAGACUGAAUGUGGAUAUCAAUUCACCUCGAAAUUAGAAGGCAUGUUUACUGACAUGAAGACCUCCCAGGAUACUAUGCAAGGGUUUUAUGCAAGCCAUCCUGAGCUAGGAGAUGGACCUACACUGGUUGUCCAGGUUUUGACAACAGGAUCUUGGCCAACUCAGCCUAAUGUUACUUGCAACUUGCCUGCUGAAAUGUCAGCACUAUGUGAGAAGUUCAGGUCAUAUUACCUUGGUACCCAUACCGGUCGGAGACUGUCCUGGCAAACUAACAUGGGCACAGCAGACGUUAAAGCAACUUUUGGGAAGGGUCAGAAACAUGAGUUGAAUGUAUCUACAUACCAAAUGUGUGUUCUCAUGCUGUUCAAUAAUGCUGACCGGCUUAGCUACAAGGAGAUUGAGCAGGCAACAGAGAUUCCUGCUUCAGACCUAAAGAGGUGCCUGCAAUCCAUGGCAUGUGUAAAAGGGAAAAAUGUACUUCGGAAAGAGCCCAUGAGCAAAGACAUUGGUGAGGAAGAUGCAUUUUUUGUCAAUGACAAGUUCACAAGCAAAUUCUACAAGGUGAAGAUAGGAACUGUAGUUGCACAAAAGGAAUCAGAACCUGAAAAGCAGGAGACUCGGCAGAGAGUGGAGGAGGACAGAAAGCCUCAGAUUGAAGCAGCAAUAGUUAGGAUCAUGAAAUCAAGGAGGGUUUUGGACCACAACAAUAUAAUUGCCGAGGUCACAAAGCAGUUGCAGUCACGAUUUCUGGCCAACCCCACGGAGAUUAAGAAACGUAUUGAGUCUCUUAUUGAACGAGAUUUCUUGGAGAGGGAUACCAUUGACAGAAAAUUGUAUCGUUAUCUUGCUUGAAGGGAUAGCUUGAGCAGGUGACUCUUUUUUCUUCUUGUGGGAUGGUUUAAGCAUUGCCAAUUGGACUUGUACCUUGGUAAGUGGAAAAUUGUUAUAGUUCCGCAAGUUUAUUGGAUUUUAAUGAAUACCAUUUAUUUCUGCUUUCAUUAUUGCCUGCAAUGCUGUUAACUGGCCUGAAAAUUUUGGCCAAAUGUAUAAUGUUUCUUCCUUGGCCGUUUUCCUAAUUCAAAAGGAUGUCAAUAAUUAGAUGACUGCAGUGCUUGUAGUAUUAGUAGUGGAGAUAGCAGGGGGGGCGUGUCCAUUCAUAUUUGGUUCAACUGAAUAUUGACAGGUGCAAUAUUUUAUGUUCAUCAUUUAGAAAUUUUCAUGAAAGAGCUGUAUUAGAUUUCUUGAAGAUUGCAUCUUGAUUUUUGAUUUGACUACAAAGAGAGGCUAUGUCUUUGAUUUGACCACCAGGGGAACGUAUUAUUUUUGGCAAAUUUGAAGCCUUUCUUCUGUGUCUUAGCAGGAGUUGCCUAUGUAAAAUUUUGUACAGGCGUUGCAUGUGCCUGAAUUGUGUAAGCUUUAUAUUUCAGAAUGUGUUAGUUCGAAGUGAUUAAUAUUGAUGCUCUUGGAUUCUGGUAUCGCUUAUUCCUUUGCUUCUUCAUCCGGCUGAUAGCGAGGUAUCCAGAUGUCGAUUUGCGUAUCUUACCAUGUAAGAUUAUUAGAAAUGUGUGAAUAUUAUAUUUCCCUAGCCAAAUAUAGCAUUAGCUUGGAUCCCUUAUGUUAGCAAAAAGGAUCAUGGACAUUUUAAUGAUGUAGUUGCAUAAUUAGUCUGCACGACGAGUAUUAGUGUUAUUUUCAUGUACAUGAUUGGUGAUGUCUUUUAAAAGGGCCGCGGCCGCCUAUGGCAAUUGGGGGUAAAUUGUAUUUAUUGUUGGUUAUUUUAUUUUCG